This 73-nucleotide transfer RNA is filed under the name Caudoviricetes sp. Its description in RNAcentral is "tRNA-Glu". It matches the Rfam family "tRNA". Rfam says of the family: Transfer RNA (tRNA) molecules are approximately 80 nucleotides in length. Their secondary structure includes four short double-helical elements and three loops (D, anti-codon, and T loops). Lineage: Duplodnaviria; Heunggongvirae; Uroviricota; Caudoviricetes. The record is from RNAcentral.
GGUCUUGUCGUCUAAUGGCUAGGACACAGCCCUUUCAAGGCUGGAAUGAUGAGUUCAAUUCUCUCCAAGACUA